GACGAACGCCGGCGGCGUGCUUAACACAUGCAAGUCGAACGGAAAGGCCCUGCUUUUGUGGGGUGCUCGAGUGGCGAACGGGUGAGUAACACGUGAGUAACCUGCCCUUGACUUUGGGAUAACUUCAGGAAACUGGGGCUAAUACCGGAUAGGAGCUCCUGCUGCAUGGUGGGGGUUGGAAAGUUUCGGCGGUUGGGGAUGGACUCGCGGCUUAUCAGCUUGUUGGUGGGGUAGUGGCUUACCAAGGCUUUGACGGGUAGCCGGCCUGAGAGGGUGACCGGCCACAUUGGGACUGAGAUACGGCCCAGACUCCUACGGGAGGCAGCAGUGGGGAAUAUUGCACAAUGGGCGGAAGCCUGAUGCAGCAACGCCGCAUGCGGGAUGACGGCCUUCGGGUUGUAAACCGCUUUCGCCUGUGACGAAGCGUGAGUGACGGUAAUGGGUAAAGAAGCACCGGCUAACUACGUG
RNAcentral lists this ribosomal RNA (468 nucleotides) under uncultured bacterium. RNAcentral describes it as "partial 16S ribosomal RNA". It matches the Rfam family "Bacterial small subunit ribosomal RNA", at positions 28 to 507 of the family's 1533-position model. The record is from RNAcentral.